RNAcentral lists this long non-coding RNA (1004 nucleotides) under Trifolium pratense (red clover). RNAcentral describes it as "long non-coding RNA (TPRA_LNC014179)". The record is from RNAcentral. Lineage: Eukaryota; Viridiplantae; Streptophyta; Magnoliopsida; Fabales; Fabaceae.
GAUGACCCUUGACACGAUGACUGUACAUGCUUUUUCAUAAUGGUAAACUGGGAUGAUGGUUUUAUGCCUGUGUGACCUCAGAUGUGAAAAUUGGAUAUAUGUCCCUUGAUUACUCGAAAUUGUUGGCCUGAAUGCAAUUUCCUUGUUAACUGUUGGAUAUAUGUCCCUUGAUGACUCGAAAUAGUGUAUAUGUCCAUCGUUGUCCCUGGAUGUCCCUAAAUUGAUGCUCUGAAUGAAUGCAAUUCAAUGUCCCUAAAUUGAAGCUCUGAAUUAAUGCAANNNNNNNNNNNNNAUUAUUGAUGCUCUGAAUGUAUGCAAUUCGAUGUUCCUAAAUUGAUACUCUAAAUGAAUGCAAUUCGAUGUGAAUGCUUAGUCAUAACUUGAAAGUGGAGAUGACCCUUGACACGAUGACUAUACAUAUGCUUUUUCAUAAUGGUAAACUGGGACGAUGGUUUUAUUCCUGUGUGACCUCAGAUGUGAAAAUUGGAUAUAAAUUAUAUAAUAUGUCCCUUAAUGACUCUAAAUUGUUGGCCUGAAUGCAAUUUCCUUUUUAAUUGUUGGAUAUAUGUCCCUUGUUGACUCGAAAUAGUGUAUAUGUCCAUCGUUGUCUCUAAAUUAAUAUAUGUCGCUUUAUGUCCCUAAAUUCAAUAUGUGUCCUUGGAUGUCCUUAAAUUGAUGCUCUGAAUGAAUGCAAUUCGAUGUUCCUAAAUUGAUGCUCUAAAUGAAUGCAAUUCGAUGUGAAUGCUUAGCCAUAACUUGAAAGUGGAGAUGACCCUUAACACGAUAACUGUACAUGUUUUUUCAUAAUGGUAAACUGGGAUGAUGGUUUUAUGCCUGUGUGAUCUCAGAUGUGAAAAUUGGAUAUAAUAUGUCCCUUGAUGACUCUAAAUUGUUGGCUUGAAUGUAAUUUCCUUAUUAAUUGUUGGAUAUAUGUCCCUUGAUGACUCGAAAUAGUGUAUAUGUCCAUCGUUGUCCCUAAAUUAGUAUAUGUCCCUUUAUGUCCC